GCCCAUUUGUACGAGCANCUUGGGGAUGCCAGUCUAGCUUCCACGAAGCAGAUGGCUGGAUAUCUGACUCUUUUCCAGAGUUGGAUAUACGAGCAUUUCCCUAGCAUGGGAAGGAGGCGGUUGGUGUCUUCUUAUGAUGACACCACACCACGUGCGACUAGGUGGCAGAGCCUUCGGCAGAGUUCGACUCUUGCAGAAAUCUGGUCGCAGUUGGAUGGCCUGACAUAUGGUGGAGUUCUAUGGCAUCCAUACGAGGGACAUCGGGGCAUUCAUCCAUUAUUCGGAAUUUGUAUGUAUUCUGGAUGGAUUCGGAUUGGUGACACCCUUUCCCGUCAUUUGCCUGAGCGUGUGAUGAGGCAGUUUGGAUUUUACCAGGAGGACCACCCACUGUCAUUGCAGAUGCAGAUGUAGUCGCUGUUGAUUUGCGUGGUUGCACUUCACAGAUCAUGUUAUUAGGAAUGUGAGACAGGCAUCAUACCCUUUUGAAUGUGUCGAUGGAUACAUACAGUGGUUUAGGAGGGUUUCACAUCCCUGUAUUAUUGUUGCUCCAGCUGAUGCGAGACCGGCUCUUGCGCCUACACAGCGCCCCGAUGUUCCACAGGAGGCACGACGUCAUCGUAGAUCCUCUCCACCUUCACCAUCCGGUGCCUCGGCUAGGUUUAGGCGAAUGGCGAGAAAGUUACAGGCGAUGAUAUCGUGUCGUCAUGUGGCCGAAGGUACAGUUGCACAUCAGAUGACGGUGGAAUUGCUUCAAGAAGCUAAUGAUGGCAUUGACGAAUAUUCCCCGACUAGGAGAGGACAGAGGCAUGUGCGUGGUAGACGUUCGACGUCUAAUUGAUAGGAAUAAUCUUCUUCGGAUUUAUUUAUGCUAUUAGUCUUGAAUAGGAGAGGACACAGGCAUAUGCCAUUUUAGUUUUUGAAUCUGUGUUGAAAUUGAUUUCCCUCAACAUCUGUAGAUGCGAUAAACUGUUUUGUCGUGGCAGUCUCUUUAUCGACUGCCAUGACUAUCUUAGUGGCUUCCUCUUUCAAUUGCUUCUUAAACUCAGCUUGAGAUUAUAUAUAACUAUAUUAUUUUGUUUUUAUAUUAUCAGUAUUCUUAUCAAUACAUAGUAAGCAAAGCACAGCACGACUUUAAUAAGCCAGAGAAGCUGUUGUUGAGAUGGAAUUGCCUGAUACUGUCAAUACAGCCAUGUACAAGGGGAGAUUAUGCACUAAUGGUGAAGUUAAGUCUCAGCUGGGAUAUGUUGAAACUGAUCCAUCUGGUCGAUAUGGUCGUGUAAGUGUUUUUCUUUGAUUCUCAUUUCCAAUCUUACUUAU
This is a long non-coding RNA of Vigna radiata var. radiata (mung bean), 1317 nucleotides long. RefSeq lists it as uncharacterized. The record is from RefSeq and is a predicted model, not a curated record. The transcript is spliced from 3 exons. NCBI's taxonomy places the organism in Eukaryota, Viridiplantae, Streptophyta, Magnoliopsida, Fabales, Fabaceae.